RNAcentral lists this long non-coding RNA (685 nucleotides) under Aquila chrysaetos chrysaetos. RNAcentral describes it as "lncRNA (ENSACCG00020008716.1)". The record is from RNAcentral. Lineage: Eukaryota; Metazoa; Chordata; Aves; Accipitriformes; Accipitridae.
GAUGUUUGACAGAAAGUGGGAAUCUAUUUCUGAUAUUCCAAAACUAUUUUCUUAACUCUGCAGGGCCCUGAAGGAGUAAACAAAUGUCCUACAGACUGUACGUGCACUCUGCUAAAAAUGUAGCAAUAGCCAGAGCUGUCUGCGGUUGCUUUCCUUUUGUGAAUGCACUCACACUUGCAGUUGUGGUCCAAGUGGGAUACCCCAGCCCACAGAUGGCUAGACAGACACGUCUACAAGCCCUUACUGCAUCAUGGUUAUGACAAGUGGCAGGCCUGGCUGGCUGCGUUCCUUCUCUCUGCAUGUUUCUGCGAGGUAGGUCACAGUAGCAGCCGUCCCGGUCAUAGCCGUGACCUCUCGUUCACGUAAACUCAUAGCUUUAUGUGAAGCAGCUAAGAUUUUGAGAUUUGCUCUAGUUGCCUACAGAUCCCAACCUAAGCUGGGUGCCAUGUGCUGAGACGGCAUCUAGACCAAAUGAAUAAGGUUUGGGGUUGUGAGUUAGCUAACAGAUGGUUUUAAAUACUGACGUGAGUUCUAGUGAGAGGAGUCACGUUGCAAAAUAACACUCGAGCUUCAUGGACUGAUUAGAUUAGCACUCCAGCAUUCUUGUAUUAGCAGUGCUGUGUGGCCAGGUCCCCGCUGCAUUAGUAGCUUGAGUGCUUGCAGUUCUUGACCUUCCGCCCAUGCU